ACGGAGGGAGCUAGCGUUGUUCGGAAUUACUGGGCGUAAAGCGCACGUAGGCGGCUUUGUAAGUCAGAGGUGAAAGCCUGGAGCUCAACUCCAGAACUGCCUUUGAUACUGUAUCUCUUGAAUCCAGGAGAGGUGAGUGGAAUUCCGAGUGUAGAGGUGAAAUUCGUAGAUAUUCGGAGGACCACCAGUGGCGAAGGCGGCUCACUGGAUUGGAACUGACGCUGAGGUACGAAAGCGAGGGGAGCAAACAG
This 251-nucleotide ribosomal RNA is filed under the name uncultured prokaryote. Its description in RNAcentral is "partial 16S rRNA". It matches the Rfam family "Bacterial small subunit ribosomal RNA", at positions 525 to 775 of the family's 1533-position model. The record is from RNAcentral.